AUUGAACGCUGGCGGAAUGCUUUACACAUGCAAGUCGAACGGCAGCACGGACUCAGGCCUGGUGGCGAGUGGCGAACGGGUGAGUAAUGCAUCGGAACGUGCCCAGUCGUGGGGGAUAACGUAGUGAAAGUUACGCUAAUACCGCAUACGAUCUAUGGAUGAAAGCGGGGGACCGUAAGACCUCGCGCGAUUGGAGCGGCCGAGAUCAGAUUAGGUAGUUGGUGGGGUAAAGGCUCACCAAGCCAACGAUCUGUAGCUGGUCUGAGAGGACGACCAGCCACACUGGAACGGAGACACGGUCCAGACUCCUACGGGAGGCAGCAGUGGGGAAUUUUGGACAAUGGGCGAAAGCCUGAUCCAGCCAUUCCGCGUGCAGGAUGAAGGCCUUCGGGUUGUAAACUGCUUUUGUACAGAACGAAAAGGUUUUGAUUAAUACCUGGGGCUCGUGACGGUACUGUAAGAAUAAGCACCGGCUAACUACGUGCCAGCCGCCGCCGUAA
RNAcentral lists this ribosomal RNA (500 nucleotides) under uncultured bacterium. RNAcentral's name for it is "partial 16S ribosomal RNA". It matches the Rfam family "Bacterial small subunit ribosomal RNA", at positions 30 to 523 of the family's 1533-position model. The record is from RNAcentral.